Molecule: long non-coding RNA, 247 nt
Filed under: Coturnix japonica (Japanese quail)
Lineage: Eukaryota; Metazoa; Chordata; Aves; Galliformes; Phasianidae
Description: lncRNA (ENSCJPG00005002968.1)
Source: RNAcentral
CUCAGCUUUGCUGUGGUGCUGUGGGGUGGCCAGUUGUGGGGACAGCAGGACAAGCAGGAUGAUGCCCUCAGCUGGGAUCUUCCUCUUGAAGGAGGAGCAGCCCCUUCAAAACUGAGCUGUGCCCUGCUGCCAAGCCAGCCCUGCACCACUGUCCCUGCCAGGUAAGUGCCAGAGAUCUGCUCUGCAGCUGAGGGGAGAGGGAGGAUCACCCUGUGGGUCAUUAGGUGCCAAAAUGUGUGGGACAACC